Molecule: long non-coding RNA, 741 nt
Filed under: Vulpes vulpes (red fox)
Lineage: Eukaryota; Metazoa; Chordata; Mammalia; Carnivora; Canidae
Description: lncRNA (ENSVVUG00000000299.1)
Source: RNAcentral
AUAGGUCUGCGUGGACACGUCGUCGUCACCCAAGGUCCAUAGCUCGCCCUAGGACCCGUCCCCGCAGGUGACGGGGCACCUACAUCCGUAGGCCCAGGUGUGACCCGCACGGUACCGUGUCCAGAGGACCACUGCGGCCCCGAAGCUCCUCGGCUCUGCCUGGUCAUCUCUCUGUCCUUCCAGCCCUGGCAGCACUGACCUGUUUCCUGUCUCCUUAGUUUCGCCUUUUCCAGAACGUCGGGUAGUUGGAAGCUACAGCAUGUGGCCUCUUCAGGCCUCAGCAAUGUGCACCCAAGCUUCCUCCGAUUCCUCUCAUGGCCUGAAGGUUCCUCCUUGUUCCCACUGAAGCUACCCGGCUGCCCGGAUGAUGCUUCAUUCUUAAGCAUGGAACUUCCCCGGCCUCCCAAGGAAACAGGAACCCCGUGCACUAAGAGCGUGCCCAGUGCCGAGUCUCGGACGCGGACCCCACAAAGUCCCCUGACGUCCACGCUGCCUGGGAGACAGGAAGCAGAAAAAGAAGAGGAUGAGGAAGCUGAAGUUUGGAAAAUUCAAGUAAAUCGCCAAAACCCUUCUGCCGCUCCUGUUUCUGAGGCUGUGAACAAACCUUCACCUGUCCCGGGUCUUUACUGCCUUGAGGUUGUAAGAUUUGUCUUGUGCUUCCAGCUUCUCAGAAAACUUCCCUAGUGGGAUGAGCCCUAAAAGUGACACAAUCACCUUGACCAUCAGCACUACGGGCGUCUG